UUCCGGUUGAUCCUGCCGGACCCCACUGCUAUCGGGAUAGGACUAAGACAUGCUAGUUGAGCGCUUCAGCCAAAACGAGGCGCGGCGUACAGCUCAGUAACACGUGGCUAAUCUGCCCUUAGGACAGGAACAACCCCGGGAAACUGGGGCUAAUUCUUGAUAUGUGAAGAACUCUGGAAUGAGUCUUCGCUUAAAAGACUUCACGUUAUGCUCGUGAUGUUGCCUAAGGAUGAGGCCGCGACCGAUCAGGUUGUUGGUGAGGUAAUGGCUCACCAAGCCUUUUACCGGUGCGGGCCGUGAGAGCGGGAGCCCGGAGAUGGGCACUGAGACAAGGGCCCAGGCCCUACGGGGCGCAGCAGUCGCGAAAACUUUGCAAUACACGAAAGUGUGACAGGGCUAUCCCGAGUGCCUUCCGCUGAGGGAGGCUUUUACCUAGUAUAGAUCGCUAGGGGAAUAAGGAGAGGGCAAGUCUGGUGUCAGCCGCCGCGGUAAUACCAGCUCUCCGAGUGGUGUGGAUGUUUAUUGGGCCUAAAGCAUCCGUAGCUGGCUAGGUCAGUCCUUUGUUAAAUCCACCGAAUUAAUCGUUGGUUUGCGGGGGAUACUGCUUGGCUAGGGGACGAGAGAGGCAGACGGUAUUUCCGGGGUAGGAGUGAAAUCCUAUAAUCCCGGGAAGACCACCAGUGGCGAAGGCUGUCUGCUAGAACGCGCUCGACGGUGAGGGAUGAAAGCUG
Molecule: ribosomal RNA, 731 nt
Filed under: uncultured crenarchaeote
Lineage: Archaea; Thermoproteati; Thermoproteota
Description: bacterial SSU rRNA
Rfam family: Archaeal small subunit ribosomal RNA
Source: RNAcentral